GCUGUGGUGAUUCAAGCGGUGGGGAAACACCUCUUCCCAUCCCGAACAGAGCCGUUAAGCCCACUAGCGCUGAUGAUACUUUCUGCUAAAAGCAGAGGGGAAAGUAGGCAAUCGCCACAGUU
This 122-nucleotide ribosomal RNA is filed under the name Parcubacteria group bacterium GW2011_GWC2_44_17. RNAcentral also lists the same sequence under 1 other name. The record is from RNAcentral.